Ostrea edulis (European flat oyster) is the source of this 1532-nucleotide RNA transcript. RefSeq lists it as uncharacterized. NCBI's taxonomy places the organism in Eukaryota, Metazoa, Mollusca, Bivalvia, Ostreida, Ostreidae. The record is from RefSeq and is a predicted model, not a curated record. The transcript is spliced from 8 exons.
UGCGCAGGAGCCGGUGAUCCGAGUCGUUCUUUUCCCUAUAUAUUCUAUUAAGAGCGACCCUGGUCACCAGCGACAGCCACCACGGUUACACCGGGACUACUUUCCCCUACGAAUAAUGGUAUUGGAGUUGUAGCGUAACGGUGACCGGAGCUUGUGCAUGGAUUGAUAUAUUAACGCAUUAUACGUAAUCAUGAACUGUCAAUUUAAAUACCUGCUGUACAACAGGAAAAAAAAUUUGAAUUGCGGAUAUUUAAACUUACAUUCUUAUCUUACGAUCGAAAAUAUUCUUAUUUGCAUGUAUAUCCUCAUUGAAGCAAGUCGUUCGUACCAAACCGAAAGUUGUUUCUUUUUAAAAAUCAUAUCUCUCAAACUAAAAAAGAUUUCGAUGACUACUACAGAAUGCAGAUGUACAUAUUGAUAAUUUCGGGAGUAUUGCUAAUAUCCUAUUACCUUACUGCUGCCUCUGAAGACCCUCGGGUAGGUCCUGCUGUACGUCUGGCAUUACCCCGGGAAAUCUCGUGCUGCCGGAAGUCGCUCCUCUGCAAUCCAGGAAUAAACUGGGGAAAACUCCCAAGAUACUACACCACCACCAACCACACUGAUUUUCUCAGCAAUGUUUGUCGGCUCGAGGGGGAAAUAUCCCCCACCGUCCGAUAUGGGCUUCUUGGAAUUUGACCAAGUUCCAGGGCAAGCUUUUGUCGAAUCCCGCUCGUGUCGAGUUGUUUCUCAUCAAUACCGACAUUAAGUGUCGUAUCAGUGUGUCCUAAGAAUAGAAAAGAAUGGAUCGCUGCAUCUGACCGAAAGCAGUGUUCCCGCAUUCUACAAAACUGUACAAGACCAGGCAAUUUUCAGUACCAUUGUUUGGUAAAUACAAACGCUGAUGGAUUGGUAGAAGUUUGUCUUCCGGUACGUCGAAUAGUUGGGCAAUACUGUAGUUUUUAUGAUGACAAGAAAAUAAGAGCUGAGAACCACUAUCAUUUGCCAUGUGGAGAACAUGAUGUUAUCUGUCCGGAGUUUUACCAAUCAAAUGAGGCAUAUAAAUAUCAGGGGUGUUACAAAACAGUUACGACAGGUGAUACAAGUACAGAAGAGAGUCCAUCAGGACAAAUGGACGACAACCAAAUAGAAGUUCAGUUGGAUACAUUCUGGUCGUUGAUCGCCAUUAUUGUUGGUGUUUCCAUCAUUGCAAUUUUGGGAACCAUAAAUGUGGUUGUACAAUUAAUUCGAACGGAAACCAAGCAAUCUUGCUAUCGUUUAUGCGGCCCUAACUGUUGUGACUGCUGCAGUACACAUCAAGAAGAGUCCUCGGGCAGGUGUAAAGGUUCAGAUGACCAGGGAGAAUCCAUCAAGCUGUCGUCUAUUGAUAACCAAGAAGAUUGAGGAUCAAUAUAAGCCUCUUAGCUUGUUACCAAUCCCCAUUCCAUGCAUAUGUAUAUUGUGAAAUGUUUAUUAUCAUGUAAUAAAUGAAUACUGUUUAAACUAAGAAGUAUCCUCAAUCAUGGAAUAAAAUAUAGAUGAGAAAACUUUUGAAA